Molecule: long non-coding RNA, 625 nt
Filed under: Rattus norvegicus (Norway rat)
Lineage: Eukaryota; Metazoa; Chordata; Mammalia; Rodentia; Muridae
Description: long non-coding RNA NONRATT021097
Source: RNAcentral
ACAUAAAUGAACAGGGGUAUUAAAGUAAAGUUGGCACAAGGGACAGCAUCCACACAGCACAUUCUUUGUUCCAGGCCCUUCGUUUUGUCAGUACUCUCGGAAAAAGGAGCAGCCCCUAAAUAAAUCAUGGAAGUACACGAGACUGCAUAAGGCCUUUUAUAGUCUGCAAAUGGUCAUGCAUCUUAUAUAAAGUUCAUUUUCGACUUCCCCGUUUAAAUGUUAGCAGCCUCAAAAUAAGAGCCAGGCUAUUUACCUGUAAGAAGCUAGUAUUUAAAAAUAGGGCAGAAAGAAGAAUAACCAGGCGGCAGGAGAGGAGACAGGAUGGUCAAGUGUGAGGGGGUCGACUGGUCUCAAACCAGAUCUACGAGCCACUUCGGGUUUGUCGAUUCAACUUUACCCAUUUGAGGGAGAGGAGGGAGGAAGACACACCCUACUGGAGGUAUUUCCACAAAUACAGAUAAGGGAACCGGUUUGUUAUUUGAAGGUAUGGGCUGUCCAUAUGAUUCCGGGGGUGUCCUCGGGGCGCGCGGUGACAUGCACAAUUAGGGCUGCAUGACACCUGGCACUCUCUUGAGUUCGGGUGCGGAGGACAAAAGGGCCGUCCCUUGGAGCGCGCGGGCGGCCG